AACCUCCGCAAUGUGAGAAAUCGCGACGGGGGGAUCCCAAGUGCCAUUCUUAACGGGAUGGCUUUUCAUUAGUGUAAAGGGCUUUUGGAAUAAGAGCUGGGCAAGACCGGUGCCAGCCGCCGCGGUAACACCGGCAGCUCUAGUGGUAACAAUUUUUAUUGGGCCUAAAGCGUCCGUAGCCGGUUUAAUAAGUCUCUGGUGAAAUCCUGUAGCUUAACUGUGGGAAUUGCUGGAGAUACUAUUAGACUUGAGACCGGGAGAGGUUGGAGGUACUCCCAGGGUAGAGGUGAAAUUCUGUAAUCCUGGGAGGACCGCCUGUUGCGAAGGCGUCUAACUGGAACGGUUCUGACGGUGAGGGACGAAAGUUAGGGGCGCGAACCGGAUUAGAUACCCGGGUAGUCCUAACUGUAAACGAUGCGGACUUGGUGUUGGGGUGGCUUUGAGCUGCUCCAGUGCCGAAGGGAAGCUGUUAAGUCCGCCGCCGGGGAAGUACGGUCGCAAGACUGAAACUUAAAGGAAGU
This 521-nucleotide ribosomal RNA is filed under the name uncultured bacterium. Its description in RNAcentral is "bacterial SSU rRNA". It matches the Rfam family "Archaeal small subunit ribosomal RNA", at positions 345 to 866 of the family's 1478-position model. The record is from RNAcentral.